Molecule: ribosomal RNA, 390 nt
Filed under: uncultured Prevotella sp.
Lineage: Bacteria; Pseudomonadati; Bacteroidota; Bacteroidia; Bacteroidales; Prevotellaceae
Description: bacterial SSU rRNA
Rfam family: Bacterial small subunit ribosomal RNA
Source: RNAcentral
GGAUGAAUAUUGGUCAAUGGACGUAAGUCUGAACCAGCCAAGUAGCGUGCAGGACGACGGCCCUAUGGGUUGUAAACUGCUUUAGUGCGGGAAUAAAGUCAGGGACGUGUCCCUGAUUGCAGGUACCGCAAGAAUAAGGACCGGCUAAUUCCGUGCCAGCAGCCGCGGUAAUACGGAAGGUCCGGGCGUUAUCCGGAUUUAUUGGGUUUAAAGGGAGCGUAGGCCGGAGAUUAAGCGUGUUGUGAAAUGUAGACGCUCAACGUCUGCACUGCAGCGCGAACUGGUUUCCUUGAGUACGCACAAAGUGGGCGGAAUUCGUGGUGUAGCGGUGAAAUGCUUAGAUAUCACGAAGAACUCCGAUUGCGAAGGCAGCUCACGGGAGCGCAACUG